Molecule: ribosomal RNA, 116 nt
Filed under: Petromyzon marinus (sea lamprey)
Lineage: Eukaryota; Metazoa; Chordata; Hyperoartia; Petromyzontiformes; Petromyzontidae
Source: RNAcentral
GAAUAUGACCAAGUCACCGAGAACGUGCCCAACCUCAUCAGAUAUCAGAUGCUAAGCAGGGUUGAGCCGGGAUGGUGUUUGGAUGGGCGACCACCAUGGAUAACAGGUGGGCAGCA